CCGCUCAGUAACACGUGGCCAAACUACCCUACAGACCGCGAUAACCUCGGGAAACUGAGGCCAAUAGCGGAUAUCACUCUCACGCUGGAGUGCCGAGAGUGAGAAACGUUCCGGCGCUGUAGGAUGUGGCUGCGGCCGAUUAGGUAGAUGGUGGGGUAACGGCCCACCAUGCCGAUAAUCGGUACAGGUUGUGAGAGCAAGAGCCUGGAGACGGUAUCUGAGACAAGAUGCCGGGCCCUACGGGGCGCAGCAGGCGCGAAACCUUUACACUGCACGACAGUGCGAUAGGGGGACUCCGAGUGUGAGGGCAUAUAGCCCUCGCUUUUCUGUACCGUAAGGUGGUACAGGAACAAGGACUGGGCAAGACCGGUGCCAGCCGCCGCGGUAAUACCGGCAGUCCAAGUGAUGGCCGAUAUUAUUGGGCCUAAAGCGUCCGUAGCUUGCUGUGUAAGUCCAUUGGGAAAUCGACCAGCUCAACUGGUCGGCGUCCGGUGGAAACUACACAGCUUGGGGCCGAGAGACUCAACGGGUACGUCCGGGGUAGGAGUGAAAUCCUGUAAUCCUGGACGGACCACCAAUGGGGAAACCACGUUGAGAGACCGGACCCGACAGUGAGGGACGAAAGCCAGGGUCUCGAACCGGAUUAGAUACCCGGGUAGUCCUGGCUGUAAACAAUGCUCGCUAGGUAUGUCACGCGCCAUGAGCACGUGAUGUGCCGUAGUGAAGACGAUAAGCGAGCCGCCUGGGAAGUACGUCCGCAAGGAUGAAACUUAAAGGAAUUGGCGGGGGAGCAC
Molecule: ribosomal RNA, 794 nt
Filed under: Haloarcula hispanica
Lineage: Archaea; Methanobacteriati; Methanobacteriota; Halobacteria; Halobacteriales; Haloarculaceae
Description: bacterial SSU rRNA
Rfam family: Archaeal small subunit ribosomal RNA
Source: RNAcentral